Molecule: transfer RNA, 67 nt
Filed under: Colinus virginianus (northern bobwhite)
Lineage: Eukaryota; Metazoa; Chordata; Aves; Galliformes; Odontophoridae
Description: tRNA-Cys
Source: RNAcentral
AGACCCCGGUACACCUCUAAUGUACAUCAAUGGGCUUGCAACCCACCAUGAAUUUCACUACAGAGUC